Molecule: ribosomal RNA, 454 nt
Filed under: uncultured bacterium
Lineage: Bacteria
Description: bacterial SSU rRNA
Rfam family: Bacterial small subunit ribosomal RNA
Source: RNAcentral
UACGGAAGGCAGCAGUGGGGAAUAUUGCACAAUGGGCGAAAGCCUGAUGCAGCUAUGCCGCGUGUAUGAAGAAGGCCUUAGGGUUGUAAAGUACUUUCAUCGGGGAGGAAAAAACAAAACUAAUAAUUUUAUUUCUUGACGUUACCCGAAAAAGAAGCACCGGCUAACUCCGUGCCAGCAGCCGCGGUAAUACGGAGGGUGCUAGCGUUAAUCAGAAUUACUGGGCGUAAAGAGCACGUAGGUGGUUUUUUUAAGUCAGAUGUGAAUCCCUGGGCUUAACCUAGGAACUGCAUUUUGAAACUGAAAUACUAGAGUAUCGUAGAGGGAGGUAGAAUUCUAGGUGUAGCGGUGAAAUGCGUAGAUAUCUGGAGGAUACCUGUGGCGAAAGCGGCCUCCUAAACGAAUACUGACACUGAGGUGCGAAAGCGUGGGGAGCAAACAGGGAUUAGAUACC